UAAGGGGGUGGCUUCCAUCUGGAAGAAUCUGGAGACAGGUGCUGCAUGGCUGUCGUCAGCUCGUGUCGUGAGAUGUUGGGUUAAGUCCCGCAACGAGCGCAACCCUUGCCUUUAGUUGCCAGCAGUUCGGCUGGGCACUCUAAAGGGACUGCCGGUGUUAAACCGGAGGAAGGUGGGGAUGACGUCAAGUCCUCAUGGCCUUUAUGACCAGGGCUACACACGUACUACAAUGGCCGAUACAAAGGGCAGCGACACUGCGAGGUGAAGCCAAUCCCGUAAAAAUCGGUCUCAGUCCGGAUUGGAGUCUGCAACUCGACUCCAUGAAGUUGGAAUCGCUAGUAAUCGUGGAUCAGCAUGCCACGGUGAAUACGUUCCCGGGCCUU
RNAcentral lists this ribosomal RNA (383 nucleotides) under uncultured Desulfobulbus sp. RNAcentral describes it as "bacterial SSU rRNA". It matches the Rfam family "Bacterial small subunit ribosomal RNA", at positions 1003 to 1382 of the family's 1533-position model. The record is from RNAcentral. Lineage: Bacteria; Pseudomonadati; Thermodesulfobacteriota; Desulfobulbia; Desulfobulbales; Desulfobulbaceae.